UGUCAGUCGGUGUCCCAAGGGUGGUGAUCUACUCAGUGGGAGUAUCACAGCCCUGCUUGGGACACAUGCUGGCAGC
This 76-nucleotide microRNA precursor is filed under the name Echinococcus granulosus. Its description in RNAcentral is "microRNA egr-mir-2b precursor". Its record names the gene egr-mir-2b. The record is from miRBase by way of RNAcentral. Lineage: Eukaryota; Metazoa; Platyhelminthes; Cestoda; Cyclophyllidea; Taeniidae.